GCAUAUCUUUAUGCCAAGGUAAAUUGCUGUGAUUCUCUCACAUAUGAGUUACCAAACUUCAAAAGGUAAGGAAUUGUUUUUGAAAUUAUGGAAACUUAACCUUGAUUCAACAUACCAUGAAGUAGCCUGAUAUCUAUAUAUAAAGUUCUAUUUUGAUUGGGUCCAAGAUAAGGAGCGGGUAUCAGAACAGUCUCUUAGUCAUAGGCUUACCGCUGGGUUUUUUUUUUGAUUCCUGAAUAAUGAAAGCAUAACCUUUUCCUUUUAUUUUUUUUCUUUUAAAUGUAAGAAGCUUUUAUGUUGUCAAAAAGUGUAUCGAAGGUGCUGUUUUCAGAGGUUCAAAGCUAUCUCUACCUGAAGAGCUAUUUUGGCCAAAAACUGAUGAUGUAUAAAGCAAAACAUUGUGCCUGUCAGGCUUAGCUUAGUUGGUCUUCUGCAUCCUUCAAGGGUGCAGGGAAGGGAGGGGGGUCUUUGAGUUUGAAUCCCUAUUCACUGAAUAUCGAUAGAUUUAAAGAAAUGGACUGGGGGAUAGGGAAGAGAGAGGGCUAUCACCCAUUGUGUAGUCCAAGGCCUUUAGGACCCCCCAAGGAAUAAAAUAAGUCACAUUAUGAAACUGCUUUAUUCAGUACAAAUUUUUAAUAUAUGCUUGACCUUUUGUAGUUCCAUUUUAGUAUUCCAGUUCCUCACUUCAGCCAUUGCAUUUGCAGGUAAAUAGACUGAAGGAUGCAA
RNAcentral lists this unclassified non-coding RNA (726 nucleotides) under Hevea brasiliensis (rubber tree). Lineage: Eukaryota; Viridiplantae; Streptophyta; Magnoliopsida; Malpighiales; Euphorbiaceae. The record is from RNAcentral.